AGAAUCAACGCUGGCGGCGUGCCUAACACAUGCAAGUCGAACGCGGUUAUUUCAGCUCCGCAAGGAGUUGGGAUAACUGAGUGGCGAACGGGUGAGUAACACGUGGGUGAUCUACCUUCGAGCGGGGAUAACGUCCGAAAGGAACGCUAAUACCGCAUGACGUUCCGGGUUUAAAGACCUGGAAACCAAAGCUGGGACCGCAAGGCCUGGCACUUGGAGAGGAGCCCGCGUCCGAUUAGCUAGUUGGCGGGGUAAUGGCCCACCAAGGCGACGAUCGGUA
This 280-nucleotide ribosomal RNA is filed under the name uncultured bacterium. Its description in RNAcentral is "partial small subunit ribosomal RNA". It matches the Rfam family "Bacterial small subunit ribosomal RNA", at positions 26 to 285 of the family's 1533-position model. The record is from RNAcentral.